RNAcentral lists this unclassified non-coding RNA (253 nucleotides) under uncultured Paracoccaceae bacterium. Its description in RNAcentral is "uncultured Rhodobacteraceae bacterium contains 16S-23S intergenic spacer region". It matches the Rfam family "Bacterial small subunit ribosomal RNA", at positions 524 to 776 of the family's 1533-position model. Lineage: Bacteria; Pseudomonadati; Pseudomonadota; Alphaproteobacteria; Rhodobacterales; Paracoccaceae. The record is from RNAcentral.
UACGGAGGGGGCUAGCGUUAUUCGGAAUUACUGGGCGUAAAGCGCACGUAGGCGGACUGAAAAGUCAGAGGUGAAAUCCCAGGGCUCAACCUUGGAACUGCCUUUGAAACUCUCAGUCUUGUGGUCGUGAGAGGUGAGUGGAAUUCCGAGUGUAGAGGUGAAAUUCGUAGAUAUUCGGAGGAACACCAGUGGCGAAGGCGGCUCACUGGCACGAUACUGACGCUGAGGUGCGAAAGCGUGGGGAGCAAACAGG